RNAcentral lists this ribosomal RNA (253 nucleotides) under uncultured bacterium. RNAcentral describes it as "partial 16S ribosomal RNA". It matches the Rfam family "Bacterial small subunit ribosomal RNA", at positions 524 to 776 of the family's 1533-position model. The record is from RNAcentral.
UACGGAGGGUGCAAGCGUUGUCCGGAUUUAUUGGGUUUAAAGGGUGCGUAGGCGGCAGAUUAAGUCAGCGGUGAAAUUCCACAGCUCAACUGUGGAACUGCCAUUGAUACUGGUUUGCUUGAGUACAGAUGAGGUAGGCGGAAUUGACAGUGUAGCGGUGAAAUGCUUAGAUAUUGUCAAGAACACCUAUUGCGAAGGCAGCUUACUAAGCUGUAACUGACGCUGAGGCACGAAAGCGUGGGGAGCAAACAGG